GUCCAGGGAUGGAAAUUGAACCCACAGUGUUCCGCUUACCGAGCAUAUUCCAUAUCCACUAGGCUACCCUGGA
This 73-nucleotide transfer RNA is filed under the name Cordylochernes scorpioides. Its description in RNAcentral is "tRNA-Thr". Lineage: Eukaryota; Metazoa; Arthropoda; Arachnida; Pseudoscorpiones; Chernetidae. The record is from RNAcentral.